UACGAAGGGGGCUAGCGUUGCUCGGAAUUACUGGGCGUAAAGCGCACGUAGGCGGCUCUUUAAGUCGGGGGUGAAAUCCUGGAGCUCAACUCCAGAACUGCCUUCGAUACUGUAGAGCUUGAGUUCGGGAGAGGUGAGUGGAACUGCGAGUGUAGAGGUGAAAUUCGUAGAUAUUCGCAAGAACACCAGUGGCGAAGGCGGCUCACUGGCCCGAUACUGACGCUGAGGUGCGAAAGCGUGGGGAGCAAACAGG
Molecule: ribosomal RNA, 253 nt
Filed under: uncultured bacterium
Lineage: Bacteria
Also listed under: 1 other name
Description: partial 16S ribosomal RNA
Rfam family: Bacterial small subunit ribosomal RNA
Source: RNAcentral